CCUACGGGUGGCUGCAGUGAGGAAUAUUGGUCAAUGGACGCAAGUCUGAACCAGCCAAGCAGCGUGCAGGAUGACGGCUCUAUGAGUUGUAAACUGCUUUUGUAAGAGGAUAAUAUCAGAUACGUGUAUCUGCUUGAAAGUAUCGUACGAAUAAGGAUCGGCUAACUCCGUGCCAGCAGCCGCGGUAAUACGGAGGAUCCCAGCGUUAUCCGGAUUUAUUGGGUUUAAAGGGUGCGUAGGCGGGUUUAUAAGUUAGAGGUGAAAAUUCGGGGCUCAACUCCGGACGUGCAGCUAAUACUGGAUGACUUGAGUAUAGAUGCGGUAGGCGGAAUGUAUGGUGUAGCGGUGAAAUGCUUAGAUAUCAUACAGAACACCGAUUGCGAAGGCAGCUUACCAAACUACAUCUGACGUUGAGGCACGAAAGCGUGGGUAUCAAACAGGAUUAGAUACCCUAGUAGUC
This 460-nucleotide ribosomal RNA is filed under the name uncultured bacterium. Its description in RNAcentral is "partial 16S ribosomal RNA". It matches the Rfam family "Bacterial small subunit ribosomal RNA", at positions 338 to 795 of the family's 1533-position model. The record is from RNAcentral.